AUCCAGCUGGAGAACGAGUCCCAAAUAGGACGAAAUACGCGUUAUCCUGGAU
Trichobilharzia regenti is the source of this 52-nucleotide non-coding RNA. The record is from Rfam. Lineage: Eukaryota; Metazoa; Platyhelminthes; Trematoda; Strigeidida; Schistosomatidae.